GGAUGCACUUUGUGUAUUCUGUUCUCGAGCCUAAAAAGCUCGAGAAGUAAGGGCCGGGUAAGACGGGUGCCAGCCGCCGCGGUAAUACCCGCGGCCCGAGUGGUGCUCAUUAUUAUUGAGUCUAAAGCGUCCGUAGCCGGCCGGGUAAAUCUCUGGGUAAAUCGGGCGGCUCAACCGUCCGAAUUCCAGAGACACUGCCCGGCUUGGGAUCGGGAGAGGGUGAUGGUACUCCUUGGGUAGGGGUAAAAUCCUGUAAUCCGAGGGGGACCACCAGUGGCGAAGGCGAUCACCUAGAACGAAUCCGACGGUGAGGGACGAAGCCCUAGGGCGCAAACGGGAUUAGAUACCCCGGUAGUCUAGGGUGUAAACGCUGCAGACUUGGUGUUGGGGGUCCCGCGUGGGCUCCCAGUGCCGGAGCGAAGGUGUUAAGUCUGCCACUUGGGGAGUACGGCCGCAAGGCUGAAACUUAAAGGAAUUGGCGGGGGAGCACCGCAACGGGAGUAGCGUGCGGUUCAAUUGGAUUCAACGCCGGAAAACUCACCGGGGGCGACGGAAGUAUGAAGGCCAGGCUGAAGACCUUGCUCGAUCUUCCGAGAGGUGGUGCAUGGCCGUCGUCAGUUCGUACCGUAAGGCGUUCUGUUAAGUCAGAUAACGAACGAGACCCUCGCCUUCAGUCGCAACUCCGCGGGAGACCGCGGGGGCACACUGGAGGGAUUGCCGUCGCUAAGAUGGAGGAAGGAGAGGUCAACGGUAGGUCCGUAUGCCCCGAAUCUCCCGGGCAACACGCGCGCUACAAAGGCUGGGACGAAUGGGAUCCGACCCCGAGAGGGGGAGGUAAUCCUGAAACCCAGUCGUGGUCUGGACUGAGGGCUGUAACUCGCCCUCACGAAAAUGGAUUCCGUAGUAAUCGCGGGUCAACAUCCCGCGGUGAAUAUGCCCCUGCUCCUUGCACACACCGCCUGUCAAGUCAUCCGAGUUGGGCCUGAGUGAGGGUGACCCUACCUUGGGUCGCUCGAACUUAAGUUCAGCAAGGGGGACUAAGUCAUAACAAGGUAUCUGUAGGGGAACCUGCAGAUGGAUCACCUCCU
RNAcentral lists this ribosomal RNA (1088 nucleotides) under mine drainage metagenome. RNAcentral describes it as "bacterial SSU rRNA". It matches the Rfam family "Archaeal small subunit ribosomal RNA", at positions 385 to 1478 of the family's 1478-position model. The record is from RNAcentral.